RNAcentral lists this ribosomal RNA (408 nucleotides) under uncultured microorganism. Its description in RNAcentral is "bacterial SSU rRNA". It matches the Rfam family "Bacterial small subunit ribosomal RNA", at positions 509 to 917 of the family's 1533-position model. The record is from RNAcentral.
CAGCCGCCGCGGUAAUACGUAGGGUGCAAGCGUUAAUCGGAAUUACUGGGCGUAAAGCGUGCGCAGGCGGUUCGGAAAGAAAGAUGUGAAAUCCCAGAGCUUAACUUUGGAACUGCAUUUUUAACUACUGGGCUAGAGUGUGUCAGAGGGAGGUGGAAUUCCGCGUGUAGCAGUGAAAUGCGUAGAUAUGCGGAGGAACACCGAUGGCGAAGGCAGCCUCCUGGGAUAACACUGACGCUCAUGCACGAAAGCGUGGGGAGCAAACAGGAUUAGAUACCCUGGUAGUCCACGCCCUAAACGAUGUCAACUAGCUGUUGGGGCGUUCGGGCCUUGGUAGCGCAGCUAACGCGUGAAGUUGACCGCCUGGGGAGUACGGUCGCAAGAUUAAAACUUAAAGGAAUUGGCGGG